This 493-nucleotide ribosomal RNA is filed under the name uncultured archaeon. RNAcentral describes it as "bacterial SSU rRNA". It matches the Rfam family "Archaeal small subunit ribosomal RNA", at positions 1 to 473 of the family's 1478-position model. The record is from RNAcentral.
UUCUGGUUGAUCCCGCCGGACCCUACUGCUAUCGGGGUGGGACUAAGACAUGCGAGUCGAGCGUCUCUAGCUAUGUUGAGACGCGGCAGACGGCUCAGUAACACGUGGCUAACCUACCCUCAGGACAGGGACAAACCCGGGAAACUGGGGCUAAUACCAGAUAGGCGAGGAUGCCUGGAAUGGUUUUUCGCUCAAAGGACCUUGGAAACAUGCUUUCAGGUCGCCUGAGGAUGGGGCCGCGUCCGAUCAGGUUGUUGGUGAGGUAACGGCUCACCAAGCCUAUAACCGGUACGGGCCGUGAGAGCGGUAGCCCGGAGAUGGGUACUGAGACAAGGACCCAGGCCCUACGGGGCGCAGCAGUCGCGAAAACUCCGCAAUGCACGAAAGUGUGACGGGGCUACCCCGAGUGCUCUCCGCUGAGGAAAGCUUUUCUCUGGUGUAACAAGCCAGGGGAAUAAGGAGAGGGNCAGACUGGUGUCAGCAGCCGCGGUAA